Molecule: ribosomal RNA, 896 nt
Filed under: uncultured Isochrysis
Lineage: Eukaryota; Haptophyta; Isochrysidales
Description: partial Bacterial large subunit ribosomal RNA
Rfam family: Bacterial large subunit ribosomal RNA
Source: RNAcentral
AACGAUGUGGAAAGUCAUAUACAGCCAGGAUGUUGGCUUAGAAGCAGCCAUCAUUUAAAGAAAGCGUAAUAGCUCACUGGUCGAGUCGGUCCGCGCGGAAGAUGUAACGGGGCUAAGCGAUGUACCGAAGCUGCGGGUGCAUAGCAAUAUGCGCGGUAGAGGAGCGUUCCGUAAGCCUGCGAAGGUGACUCGUAAGGGUUGCUGGAGGUAUCGGAAGUGCGAAUGCUGACAUGAGUAACGAUAAUGCAGGUGAAAAACCUGCACGCCGUAAGCCCAAGGUUUCCUGCGCAACGAUUUUCGGCGCAGGGUAAGUCGGAUCCUAAGGCGAGGCCGAAAGGCGUAGUCGAUGGCAAACAGGUUAAUAUUCCUGUACUUCCUUAGCUGCGAUGGGAGGACGGAGAAGGUUAGACCAGCCACCUGUUGGAUGGUGGUUUAAGCGCAAAGGAGUGCACUCUAGGCAAAUCCGGAGUGAUUAUCUGAAGCGUGAUGACGAGUCUCUUUUGAGACGAAGUGGUUGAUACCAUGCUUCCAAGAAAAGUCCCUAAGCUUCAGGCAAAAGGAAUCCGUACCCCAAACCGACACAGGUGGGCGAGGAGAGUAUCCUAAGGCGUUUGAGAGAACUCGGGAGAAGGAACUCGGCAAAUUUGAACCGUAACUUCGGGAUAAGGUUCGCCUACGCAAGUAGGCCGCAGUGAAGAGGGGGUUGCGACUGUUUAUCAAAAACACAGCACUCUGCAAACACGAAAGUGGACGUAUAGGGUGUGACUCCUGCCCGGUGCUGGAAGGUUAAUUGAUGGGGUCAGCCGCAAGGCGAAGCUCUUGAUCGAAGCCCCAGUAAACGGCGGCCGUAACUAUAACGGUCCUAAGGUAGCGAAAUUCCUUGUCGGGUAAGUUCC